Molecule: long non-coding RNA, 1094 nt
Filed under: Elaeis guineensis (African oil palm)
Lineage: Eukaryota; Viridiplantae; Streptophyta; Magnoliopsida; Arecales; Arecaceae
Description: long non-coding RNA (EGUI_LNC011374)
Source: RNAcentral
GCCUCUUUAUUCAUGAAAUUAUUCUCUUACGUAUUCAAAAUUAAUAUUAAAAUAAAAAUAUAUAGUGUCUAGAUUAUUUAUCUUGAAACAUCUAUCGGGUGCACGGAGGUCCAUAGACAAAUCUCCUGGAUUAUAUCCUCCUAUGGAUCUCCUGAUCUAUCUAAAAUAAAAUAAUAAUUUAAAUAAAGGAAACAAAACUUAAGCUAGGGAAGAGAGAAAGAGGAACAUCCUCUUCCUUAUUUUGAAAACCAGGGGACAUCCUCCCCUCUCUCUCUCUUGUUUCCUUCCCCCAACCACGACCAUCAAAAGCCUUGAGGCCGACGACCCAACGACACUCAAGGCGGCAGGGAGGGGAGUGUCCCAUCGGCGGCCAUGGCUAGUGAAAGCCGGUGAUGAAAAACAAAAGGGAAAAAGGAAAUUGAACAAAGCAGCCCUCUGUUCAACACCAACCGGCGGCUUGCCGGGCCAAGACCACAUGACGGGUGCUGGUGGAUGCUGGGAAAAGAAAAAGAAGAGGAAGGAGAGUAGCUACCCUAGUCCGGUGAUGCAGAAGGGAAGAAAAAUCCGACGAUCCUAUUAGCCAAACCUAAGAAAGAUUCAAGAGAAAAUUCAAAAGAUCGGUGGCGAUUCCUCGAGAAAUCAAGGAUGGAAUGGUAGGGGUCUUCUUAUAAAGGGUUUCUCUAGGUUUGCAAACCAAGUUUUGCUCGGAUUAAAUCUCCCUCCCCUACCGAUUUCAUUGGAUAUGGAAGAGAAGAAAGACUCCGAUCGGGAGUCCCCUUCCUUCCACCAGCUCACAUGCCAAGCACGUGCAUUUCGGUGGUGGGCCUAUUAUGCGGGUGGGGUUGGAUCCAACAUAAGUUUGGGUUACCACAACCAUUGUCCUUUCUACCACUAUUAUCAUCAUCUUUUCUAGCACCGCCAUCAUGAGUAUUACCACCAUUGUCAUCAUCACUAUUGCCACUAACCCCACCAAUUCUAUCAUAUCAGGUUCUAUCAUAUCAUCAUGAUCAUCGUAAUCUUUAGCAUAUCUCACUAUCAUCAUCAUCACCACUACUAUAUUAUAAAUGUCUUAAUAUCACUAUAGCUAUUAUCAC